UGAGGUAGUUGGAGAAAUUUUUCU
This 24-nucleotide non-coding RNA is filed under the name Mus musculus (house mouse). Lineage: Eukaryota; Metazoa; Chordata; Mammalia; Rodentia; Muridae. The record is from RNAcentral.